Canis lupus familiaris (dog) is the source of this 2694-nucleotide long non-coding RNA. RefSeq lists it as uncharacterized. The record is from RefSeq and is a predicted model, not a curated record. Lineage: Eukaryota; Metazoa; Chordata; Mammalia; Carnivora; Canidae. The transcript is spliced from 3 exons.
UCCCUUCCCGUCCCGUCCCGUCCCGUCCCGUCCCGUCAGGCACUACAGAAAUCCCGGAGAGCUGACUCAGGAGGGAAAGAAGAAUCCAGGAUAGAGGACACAGAAUAAAAUGAAGACUUUUGUCCGUCUUCAUGGAUAUGCUACUGAGAGAAUAAACUAGAAGCAGUAUCUAAUACCAAUUGCAAACUCUGGAGAGUGUCAUUUUUGCAGUCUGGACUCACACCACAGGCCCGCAUUGGACUUCCUCCUCCUCCUGUGGUGAUCCUUCUUCCAUGAUCAUGAGAACAUUCUUUUUUCACCAGCUUUAAAGUUAACUGGUUUUCUCUUUUAGUUUUUUGAGCAACUGAGAUCUUUGAAGGUUUGAGUUCUUUUUUAGCAUUUAACAGAGGAAGGAAUGACAUUAAUAGGCCACUCCUUAAGCCUGCCUGAUAUGGCUGAAGGCACAUCAGUUUUUUGUCAAAUUCUCCAUACCUCAAUGGACAGGAAGGACUUGGCUGUCACCCAGAGAUCCCUCUAACACCUGCUGGAACAUACAAUUGAGAACUGACAUUUAAGAAAUGAAUGCUUUUCUUUGAUUCCCUGCCUGUGUUGUUGGAAAAUAUGUAACCUGUAGACCAAGAAAGAAUUUACUGAACAUUUAAGCAAACAGACCAUUUAGGCAAUUAGAAUUGCAAUUUGGGAGACACAGAUUCAGGAAGUGUAUUCUGAGGAAGGCAAAGAGGAGUCAGAAUUAUAUGGCAAAGGCAACCAUUGUAGUUCUCAUUUGAGUCCUCUAUGCAAAACAGAAAUUGAAACUAUGUGGGGGCACCUGGGUGGCUCAGUGGUUGAGCAUCUGCCUUGGGCUCAGGGCAGGAUCCUGGUCCCGGGAUGGAGUCCCACAUCGAGCUUUCUGCGUGGAGCCUGAUUCGCCCUCUGCCUGUGUCUCUGCCCCUCUCUCUGUCUUUCAUGGAUAAAUAAAUAAAAUCUUUAAACAAACAAACAACAGUAAGAACAACAACAAAAAAAAAUGAAAAAAAAAACUGGAUUAACUGGAAUUGGUUGGGUUAAUAUGCAAAUGAGAGAUUGAAACCUGUUAAAUUGAAUUGGCUCUUUUUGAAGUGAAGAAUACAGAUGUUUCAGGUUUCAUGGUGAGGGAAGUUAAGUCCAGGCUUAAGGUUUGCAGCUGGUGAAAAAAAUUUUUUUUAAAAGAUGUUCAUGAUUUCCCCCAUGAUGAUGUGCAUAAAUUCUUUCUCCUUUAUGGCCUCCCGACCUAACCUUAUUUUUAAAAGAAAUUUUCUUAGCGAGGUUUACUUGUUCUAUUUUGAAAUCUCCUUUUACAUAGCUGACAUUUAUUUCUAUUCCCAACUCACACAGCUUUCUACUCAGCAUGCUAGUAUUGCUUGGGAUCAUUGAUUUCUCUUGUACUCUUCUAGCUCUGUCCCAUUGAAAGAGAACUUCAGCUGCCUCCAUUUUGACCUCAAAUUUUCUAUGGGGGUCUUCAUUCCAGGUUGUCUCUUGGCUCAGGAGGAAGACCCUGAGGGCAAAGCAUACCCUGAUGAGAACUGAAAUUACCCCUUCAAGCAAUAAGGAUGCUUUGAACAAGCAAGACCCCACCCACAGGUGACUGACUCCAAGAAAGUGAGCCAUUUGGCCUUCACUGCCAUCACACAGUAUGCACUCACCCUUGCCCUACGUUUUCCUUUUAUAAACCUAAAAGUAUUUUUGGCACUUCGGAGACAGUCUUAGAGAUUUUAGUCUGAAGUCUUCCGCAUGUUGGCCUCACUGAGAUAAAUUUCUUUCUUGUUUGAACACCACUCAUCUCUCUACCUUUGGAUUUUGUCAGCAGCAAGUGACCAAACCUGGUUUCUUAGAGGCCCUUGCAGCGAUGAAACUAUGCAACACCCAACAGCUAAUAGCCAUAGAUGCUAAAAUGUUAACAAAUGCCUGUGUUUUGUUAAUGUAAAUGAAUUAAAGAACAGUCAAAUAGUAAUACAUAAUCUUAUUAACUUUUGGACUGUAUUGUAGUUUAUAUAUUCUGUAGAGAGAAUGUCAGAGAAGAGAGAUUACUUGGAGGCCAGAAUUGUUGGGGAGGCACACCCUCUAUCUACAAUCCCCUUUUCCAGCAGUCAUAUCAGCAUGAUAAAUCCUAGCUGAUGAGAGCUGCUGGGUAGAUAUUUCUGCUCUUUAGCAUGCCAAUGACUAAUUCCAUAUCUCUGGCAUUUUCCAACUAUCAGUAGAAGUGUUUUCAGUCAACCAUAGUACUUAUUAUUUAAGUAGUAAAUGAUACCUUUUCAAUUGUGAGUUUUAUAAUUUAUCCUACUUGUCAUAAUCUAUAUUUACAGAUUAUUUAAAAAAACAGUCAACAACGAGUUCUUCAGAAUAUGCGCUUUUAUUCUGCCUUUUAAGAUAAAUAGAUGUGUAUGUACUCAUUUGUGCAAAUACCACUUGUUCCCCUCUGCUGCCAUUUCUGUGACAGCAGUAUGCAGGACCAUUCUUUAAGUGAUUAUAUUCUAAUGGGAAAACAGCCAAACAAAAACUGUCAGCUAUUUCAUAUACUUGCUAAAGCUAUUUAGAAAUACAAAUUAACAUGAUGUGAAGAUUUAUAAAUAUGGGUAAGUAAUGUGCUAUAAAUGUGCAUUUUAUUUUAUUAGUUUCUCUAAGUUUCUGGCAAAAUAAACUGAAACAGUCUGCUCUUUUUUUUUAAAGGUGGGUUAU